GGCAGUGUAGCUCAGUCGGUCAGAGCACCCGGCUCAUACCCGGAGGGUCGUGGGUUCGAGUCCCACCACUGCUA
This 74-nucleotide transfer RNA is filed under the name Deltaproteobacteria bacterium. Its description in RNAcentral is "tRNA-Met". It matches the Rfam family "tRNA". Rfam says of the family: Transfer RNA (tRNA) molecules are approximately 80 nucleotides in length. The record is from RNAcentral. Lineage: Bacteria; Pseudomonadati; Myxococcota; Myxococcia.